This 76-nucleotide microRNA precursor is filed under the name Ophiophagus hannah (king cobra). RNAcentral's name for it is "mir-203 microRNA precursor family". It matches the Rfam family "mir-203 microRNA precursor family". The record is from Rfam by way of RNAcentral. Lineage: Eukaryota; Metazoa; Chordata; Lepidosauria; Squamata; Elapidae.
GCUGGGUGCAGUGGUUCUUAACAGUUCAACAGUUCUGUAGCAUAAUUGUGAAAUGUUUAGGACCACUUGAUCCGGA